RNAcentral lists this long non-coding RNA (215 nucleotides) under Musa acuminata (dwarf banana). RNAcentral describes it as "long non-coding RNA (MACU_LNC005918)". Lineage: Eukaryota; Viridiplantae; Streptophyta; Magnoliopsida; Zingiberales; Musaceae. The record is from RNAcentral.
UCAUAUCUUACCAACCUCUACAACUAAGAGAUGAUGCCAUUUUUGGAGAACAACCAACCCAGAUCUUGAAAAGGAAAGAACAUAUUCUAAAGAAUAAACUUAUAUCUUUGGUAAAGAUUUGUUGGUAAUACCAUUCAGGAGGCAAUGUGGGAAAGAGAAACAGAUAUGUGAGAGCAAUAUCCUCAUCUAUUAUAUUAAGGUGAGCUAAAUUUGGG